GCCGAAAUAGCUCAGUUGAGAGCGCGUUAGACUGAAGAUCUAAAGGUCCCUGGUUCAAUCCCGGGUUUCAACA
Molecule: transfer RNA, 73 nt
Filed under: Pangasianodon hypophthalmus (striped catfish)
Lineage: Eukaryota; Metazoa; Chordata; Actinopteri; Siluriformes; Pangasiidae
Rfam family: tRNA
About the family: Transfer RNA (tRNA) molecules are approximately 80 nucleotides in length. Their secondary structure includes four short double-helical elements and three loops (D, anti-codon, and T loops). Further hydrogen bonds mediate the characteristic L-shaped molecular structure. tRNAs have two regions of fundamental functional importance: the anti-codon, which is responsible for specific mRNA codon recognition, and the 3' end, to which the tRNAs corresponding amino acid is attached (by aminoacyl-tRNA synthetases). tRNAs cope with the degeneracy of the genetic code in two manners: having more than one tRNA (with a specific anti-codon) for a particular amino acid; and 'wobble' base-pairing, i.e. permitting non-standard base-pairing at the 3rd anti-codon position.
Source: Rfam by way of RNAcentral